This 579-nucleotide ribosomal RNA is filed under the name uncultured bacterium. RNAcentral's name for it is "partial 16S ribosomal RNA". It matches the Rfam family "Bacterial small subunit ribosomal RNA", at positions 355 to 932 of the family's 1533-position model. The record is from RNAcentral.
UGGGGAAUUUUGGACAAUGGGCGAAAGCCUGAUCCAGCAAUGCCGCGUGUGUGAAGAAGGCCUUCGGGUUGUAAAGCACUUUUGUCCGGAAAGAAAUCCUUGGCUCUAAUACAGUCGGGGGAUGACGGUACCGGAAGAAUAAGCACCGGCUAACUACGUGCCAGCAGCCGCGGUAAUACGUAGGGUGCAAGCGUUAAUCGGAAUUACUGGGCGUAAAGCGUGCGCAGGCGGUUUGCUAAGACCGAUGUGAAAUCCCCGGGCUCAACCUGGGAACUGCAUUGGUGACUGGCAGGCUAGAGUAUGGCAGAGGGGGGUAGAAUUCCACGUGUAGCAGUGAAAUGCGUAGAGAUGUGGAGGAAUACCGAUGGCGAAGGCAGCCCCCUGGGCCAAUACUGACGCUCAUGCACGAAAGCGUGGGGAGCAAACAGGAUUAGAUACCCUGGUAGUCCACGCCCUAAACGAUGUCAACUAGUUGUUGGGGAUUCAUUUCCUUAGUAACGUAGCUAACGCGUGAAGUUGACCGCCUGGGGAGUACGGUCGCAAGACUGAAACUCAAAUGAAUUGACGGGGUCAUAGCUG